AGUCUACCUGCCCACUGAAUUUAUUUAAAUGGCCGCAGUAUCCUAACUGUGCAAAGGUAGCAUAAUCAUUAGUCUUUUAAUUGAAGGCUGGUAUGAAUGGUUGGACGAGAUAUUAACUGUUUCAUGAAAAUUUAUAAUAGAAUUUUAUUUUUUAGUCAAAAAGCUAAAAUAAAAUUAAAAGACGAGAAGACCCUAUAAAUCUUUAUAUAUAAAUUAUUAGAAUUUUGUAGAUUUUUUUUAUUAUAAUAGUUGAUUAUAUUUUAUUGGGGUGAUAUUAAAAUUUAAUAAACUUUUAAUUGUUUAAAUCAUUAAUUUAUGAAUAAUUGAUCCGUUAAUAACGAUUAAAAAAAUAAGUUACUUUAGGGAUAACAGCGUAAUUUUUUUGGAGAGUUCAUAUCGAUAAAAAAGAUUGCGACCUCGAUGUUGGAUUAAGAUAUAAUUUUAGGUGUAGCCGCUUAAAUUUUAAGUCUGUUCGACUUUUAAAUUCUUACA
RNAcentral lists this ribosomal RNA (492 nucleotides) under Ravinia derelicta. Its description in RNAcentral is "partial 16S ribosomal RNA". It matches the Rfam family "Bacterial large subunit ribosomal RNA", at positions 1898 to 2600 of the family's 2925-position model. Lineage: Eukaryota; Metazoa; Arthropoda; Insecta; Diptera; Sarcophagidae. The record is from RNAcentral.